GAGGAGACGCCUUAUCUAUAAGCUCCCCAGAGUCUUAGAGGCAUGCGGGGUGAUGCUUCUGAUGAUUUGUCAGUGAUUAAGACGUAAUAAAUCACUGAGCCUGUGUGUCUGAUCUCAGAUAACUUCAUACAAUGCAAAGCACAAAUAAGCAGUGCAUUAAGGGGAUUGGACAAGCUCUAGGGUUCACCUUAAUGUAAACAGCCACCAUUUAAAGCAACAAGAUGUCAAAGAAGUAUUACAAACCCUGAAUGGUAAAAUGCACAUGCUAUUUUAUUGAAUUAAAGGACUGCAAUGACAGCAGUUCCCCUUUGACAUGAGAUUUCUGUAUGUUGGUAUACUAGCUAACAACCAAGCUGGUGUGUAUGUUUAGAAAGAACUUAAUUUUUAACACAUGAUGAAUCAAGUAAAUAUGGUUUAGUACGCCCUUUUCCAUUUGAUAUCAAGUAUAGACUGAUACCUAAUAAGGUGCUUUUCCAUGCUAUAGAGGAUUUCUACACUCAAAAAAAUGCUGGGUUGUUUUUUCAACCCAACUACUAGGUUGAGCCUGUUGGUCAAUUUAUUUGGGUCAUUUUCAUGGAGUUGGGUAUUAUGAGUACCCAAUUCGCAAGGUUAUUUAUGUUGGGAACAGAGUUAUUAGCUGUUGGGUUGUAUUUUCUAUAUAGUUUUGUUGGUUUAUUGUGGAUCUCUCAACACAUUGGGUAGACGCUUGGGCAUUUUAAACCAAGCACCACUCACUCACCAGAUUGAUGCCACAACCACUAAAGCAAGGAGACGUACAAAGUAAGGUUUGUUACAUUCCCACUAUUGCUUGACCAUAAAGAUGACUUGAUAUUAUUAUGUAGACCCUCAAUUUGUUGUUAAGAUAUAAGUUUGUGAAGCACUGUUGUGUACGAGCUUCUGCUUUCAGGAAUUGAUUGGUAGGUGAGCAAGCUAAUGGUUAGCCAACAUUAGUAGCAUAAAGUACAUUGCCUUAAAACGUUGCAAGCUAACAUGUUAGCUGAUGUGGGGUGUGUUGUGGUCAGAAAUGUUGAACUACUGCUUUAAUGUACUCUGUCUUGAUGUUUCAGGUUGAUACAAACAAUUAAUGGAUGACUUUUUUGAUGUGGAGUGGAGUGGAGUGGAUGCAUGGAUGCAAGAUACAACCUACUGUUCUGUAUUGUUUUUUGUUUUUUUUUCUUUGAAAAGAUAAGAAAACCAAGAAAUCUGCCAAAUGUUUACAAACUCCAAAGUUCAUUCUCCGUCAGUACAAUGGAAAGAGUGCUGUUGAGGGGCGGCAGUAGCUCAGGAGGAAGAGCGGUUGUCCAAUAACCACAAGGUUGGCGGUUCAAAUACCCCUUAUUUCAAGUCUAUCCAUUGUGUCCUUGGGUAAGACACUUAACCCACCUUGCUCCCACUGUGUGUCCUCCAUUGGUGUAUGAUUGUUAGUGUUGUUUAGUGGUGGCUGGAGAGGCUGUAGGUGCAAAUUGGCCCCAGGGUAGCUGUGUCUACUAAGGUAGAUAACCAUCACCAGGGUGUGACUGUGUGAAUUAAUAAAUGAUGUAUCCAAGGUAAAGCGCUUUGAGGGUCUCUGAUAAAGUGCUAUAUGAAUUUAAUAUUAUACUAACGGUCAAAAUGCUGGGUUUAAAGAACCCAAUUGUUGGGUUCAGUAAACCGACCCAGUUAGAGCGGUAAAAUUAACCCAGCAUGUGUUCUGUCCAAUGUUCAACCAGUGCUGGGUUGGGAAACGACCCAAAUUGAGUUGUUUUUAACCUAAUGUUUUUAAGAGUGUGAGGUUUUUAUCCAUCUGUGAAGAAGAGUUUCCUUGUGCUGAACACAACAGGUGUCAUCCCUUUACAGAUCUACAGACGCUAAUUACACGCAAGUGUAAGAAGUAAGAAUGUGCCGUAAACCACAUCUUAUAAAGCCUUUCAGACGUGAACGAGGCUGCCUUCAAAAAAAGGUCUUGAUCAGAGGAUUGAUCUUGUAACUCUGCCUUCAGGGUGAAUAUUUCUCUCAUCAUUUAGUACACAGAGGAAGAGCUGUGUUGUGCCUGAGCAGAGCGUUUCCAGCCGGUUAAGUAAGUGACUGAUGUCUCACCCUGGAUACUCCUUUUUUUCUCUAUCAGCAUUCUCACUGAGGACACCACCCCACCCAGCAUCCUGUGCCAAGUGGGAAAGUGUUUCUUGGUAGGGGGUUUCCAUGGUGACUAGCCUCAACUUCUGAUGUUCACCCUGCACACACAGAUACAAGGAAACAGACACAUCCACAGACACAUAGGUGUGACUGUAAAGCACAGCAAGAGCAAUGACAAACAGCAUCGAUUUUCCCUCGCCGCCAAGACGAGGUUAAGAAAUUGCUCCAAUACGCUGCAAACAAUUACCACUCCAUUAAAGUGGAGAGAUAGUGUAGAGAACAACUUUACAGCCACUCAGAUCACACACACAGACACACACUCUGCUGGCCUCCUGCCAUGCUCUCUAUCACAUCUCCACACAAAAACACAAGUGUGGGAGGUGGGCACUGUGGGGGGGUUAUUGUAUUUAUUCUUAGGUGGUCACAUUGUGCAUAUAAAUUGAGCAGGCUAAAUAAUUAAUAGAUGGUACAAAGCAAGGGCAGUCCUCACACACUGGAGCAAGAAGCAGGGAAGGGGGGGAGGGGUGACAGAGCCAUUAACAUAUUACCCACUUUUUUUACAAAACAAAGAAAAGAUUAUUUCAUUAGAUUUGAGCCAAAUACCAACAUACAGGAUUAAAUUAAACAAAUUAAAGAUAUUAUCAUCAGUAUAUUUACUAUUAUUGGAAAAAGUGAAAAAAAAUCGCAGGUGAAAAGUGUGCUGCCACCGUUUGCCUCAGAUGAUGAAGGAGACAGUUUUUCUCCUCCUCUUCAGCAUCUUCAAUAAUUUCAAACAGAAUUCCCUCCUUUUCAUUCAGAGAGGGAUUAUGUCAUCGACUGAGAUCGGAGAAAGGAGAGGGGACCACAGACACAGACAGGCUUUUAUUCGUUAUACUCCUGCUGCCAUCUAGUGAUAUAAUGCGAGUAUUACAUGAUAGAAGUUUGUAGUGUGCAACACCACAUUGUACUGCUUUUCAGUACUCAGUCAGGGCUCCUUUUGCACAAAUGAGUGGCAUGGAGUCAAUCAGUCUGUGACUGCUGGGGUGUCAUUAGUUCAGGUCUCUGUGAUAGCUCCUUCAGCUGGUCUGUAUUAUUACUCUGGUGUCUCUCAUCUUUCUCUUCAUGAUAUCCCAGAGAUCUUCUACAGCAGUGGUUCUCAAGUCCAGUCCUUGAGGCCCACUGUCCGGCAUGUUUUAGAAUGUUUCCCUACUCCAACACACCUGAUUCAAAUGAUCAGCUCGUUAUUAAGCCAUUACAGAGCUUGAUAACGAGCUAAUCAUUUGAAUCAGGUGUGUUGGAGCAGGGAAACAUGUAGGACAGUGGGCCUCAAGGACUGGACUUGAGAACCACUGCUCUACAGGGUUCAGGCCAGACCAGUCGGCUGGAGAAUAAGCACAGCCAUACCAUGGUCAGCAAACCAGUUUUUUAAAUGAGAUAAUAAAGUCUGUUACUGAACAGUCUGUAUGUAGUGGUUUAAACCAGACCUGAACAGACCGGGCACCUGUACUACGAAGCUGGAUUAAUGUUAACACACCCAGGAUAACUCUGCCACAACUCGGUCAACUUCACCAGAUCUCCGUAAUCC
This 3676-nucleotide long non-coding RNA is filed under the name Xyrichtys novacula (pearly razorfish). The record is from RNAcentral. Lineage: Eukaryota; Metazoa; Chordata; Actinopteri; Labriformes; Labridae.